This 273-nucleotide small nuclear RNA is filed under the name Castor canadensis (American beaver). RNAcentral describes it as "7SK RNA (ENSCCNG00000003935.1)". It matches the Rfam family "7SK RNA". From Rfam's summary of the family: 7SK was discovered as an abundant small nuclear RNA in the mid-70s but a possible function has only recently been suggested. Two independent studies have found that 7SK RNA binds the CDK9/cyclin T complex (known as elongation factor P-TEFb). The record is from RNAcentral. Lineage: Eukaryota; Metazoa; Chordata; Mammalia; Rodentia; Castoridae.
GGGUGGCUCAGAUGGGACAUCUGACACCUCACUGAUGGCCAGGGUUGAUUCAGCUGGUCUGGCUGGCCAGGCCAGUGUCCCCUCCUCCCUGUGCACUCAGUGAAGAGGACACGAGGACACCCUUCCGUCCCAGAGCAGGACUAGUCUUCGGUCAAGGACUAGCUGCACUCCCCUGCUAGAUCCUCCAAGCAAGCUCUCAAGUUUUAAGGGGUUGACACGGAUGGAACGGAUACACAAAUGUCAGGUGAGUCUCCAGCGAGGGAGCAGUUUUGC